AGUCCGGCGGGGAGCCCGGGGCCGCUCCGGGCUCCUCGGCCGCCGCCUCUUCCGAGAACGCCGCCGCCCCGGGCCCGGCCUCUGCCACCGCCCCCACCGGCGCCCAGCGCACUGCCUCGCACGGCGGAAGCGACUCCUCUUCCUCCUCCUCUUCGUCCUUCGCCUUUGAGCCAACGGCCGCCACCCCCGUUAGCGGCUCCGCAGCCGCUUCGAGAGCCGCCAUGUUUUAGGAAGCACCGCCGCACGUCAGCCUUCACUCCCUUCUUACCUGCAAAGUUUCUUCUGAAAAGUCAGCUGAUAGCCUUAUGGGAGUUUCUUUAAAUCCUCAUUGGCCGACCUCAAUUGGAAACAAGAAGCAUCGUUAUCCUGUUGAUGCAAUCCAUACAGGUAAUGGUGAGUAAGAACCUCCAGGAAGGUGAGCUGGCUCCGGAUCUCUUACAGACUUUCAAGAACUUAACAUAUGGAAGAACAUAAUGUAGUGAACUUCUCUUGUCCUUUGGACUAUUACCCAACCCCUGUGCAUCUGAUACUGGCAUCCUUAUUUUCCUGAAGGAAAUCGCUCUGACACUAAGUGGAUCAGAUACUUUUGAGAUUUCUCUUCCAAACUAAUGAAAAGCAAUCAAUAUUUUCAUGAAUAUUCAAGAUCAAGCCACUUUCCUUGCAUCUGCCACACAAGUUUUGGAAAGCCUAGAAGUUUCUUCACCCCUUGUUGAGAUCUGCAGGAGGGCACUGCACACAGAGGCCUCAUGCUAGGCCCUUCACCCGUGAGCUCCUCCUCGGAAGAGGCUAGGCCAGUGCCUCAGCUCCGAACAGUGCACAGAGGCUCCUGACACUGCGAUUCAAGAUGGCCUGGCUCUCAAGACUUUGGAUUCAGACUGGAAGCUAUACCAUUAGCUCUCUUGGGCCUCCAGCUUGCUCAGUGCAGAUCUUGGGACUUCUCAGCGUCCAGCUUCCAUAACCACAUGAGCCAAUUCCUACCGUGGAUGGCACCCGCUGGUCAUGCUGCGUGUGCUGGGGGUGCCGGGAAUCCCCAUGCCUUCCACCCUCUCUGAGGUCUGGUGUGUGCUCAGCGCACACACUGAAAAGUAAUCCUGACUCCUGCAUCUUUUUUAAAUGAAUUUAUUUUAUCUACUUUAGUGACUUAACAUCUAUAACUCUCUGUUAUUUUCGUGGAGGAUUUUUGGUUCACCUUAUACAGUCAUCCCUCUGUAUCCUCUUGAGGAACUGGUUCCAGGAUGCCCAUGGAUACCAACGUCCCUUAUAUAAAAUGGCACAGUACAGACAGUACUCUGUAUCUGUGGGUUCCACAUCCACAGAGUCAACCAACUGCAGAUUGAAUUCUUAACUUACCUUAGUCUACUUUCAAGUUGUGUUAUGACAUUUCCU
Long non-coding RNA from Balaenoptera ricei (Rice's whale), 1386 nucleotides. RefSeq lists it as uncharacterized. The transcript is spliced from 7 exons. The record is from RefSeq and is a predicted model, not a curated record. Lineage: Eukaryota; Metazoa; Chordata; Mammalia; Artiodactyla; Balaenopteridae.